RNAcentral lists this unclassified non-coding RNA (21 nucleotides) under Mus musculus (house mouse). RNAcentral describes it as "oocyte_clustered_small_RNA7622". The record is from RNAcentral. Lineage: Eukaryota; Metazoa; Chordata; Mammalia; Rodentia; Muridae.
CUCAGGUCAGAAAGCAGGAAC